RNAcentral lists this ribosomal RNA (1242 nucleotides) under metagenome. RNAcentral's name for it is "bacterial LSU rRNA". It matches the Rfam family "Bacterial large subunit ribosomal RNA", at positions 1564 to 2813 of the family's 2925-position model. The record is from RNAcentral.
UGAGUACGAGAUGCUACGGCAUCGAAGCAGUCUAUGUCAUACUUCCAAGAAAAGCUUGCAAUGUCAUAAACAAAUAAUGCCUGUACCAUAACCGACACAGGUGGGUAGGUAGAGUAUACUAAGGGGCGCGAGAUAACUCUCUCUAAGGAACUCGGCAAAAUGACUCCGUAACUUCGGGAGAAGGAGUGCCUUAUUUUUAUAAGGUUGCAAUAACAAGAUCCAAGCAACUGUUUACCAAAAACACAGGUCUCCGCUAAGUCGUAAGACGAUGUAUGGGGGCUGACGCCUGCCCAGUGCCAGAAGGUUAAAGAAGUUGGUUAGCAUUAGCGAAGCUGAUAACUGAAGCCCUGGUGAACGGCGGCCGUAACUAUAACGGUCCUAUGGUAGCGAAAUUCCUUGUCGGGUAAGUUCCGACCCGCACGAAAGGCGUAAUGAUUUGGAUACUGUCUCGGAGAGAGGCUCGGUGAAAUAGACUUGUCUGUGAAGAUGCGGACUACCUGCACCUGGACAGAAAGACCCUAUGAAGCUUUACUGUAACUUGAGAUUGAAAUUGGACUUUAUCUGCGCAGUAUAGGUGGGAGACGUUGAAAAUAUUCUUGCGGGAAUAUUGGAGUCAUCAGUGAGAUACCACUCUUAUAAUGUUAGAUUUCUAACUUUGUAUCAUUAUCUGGUCAAAGAACAGUUUCAGGCGGGCAGUUUGACUGGGGCGGUCGCCUCCCAAACGGUAACGGAGGCGCACAAAGGUUUCCUCUGAACGUGUAGAAAUCGUAUCUAGAGUGUAAAGGCAUAAGGAAGCUUGACUGUGAGACCUACAAGUCGAGCAGGGACGAAAGUCGGUCUUAGUGAACUGACGGUGCUGAGUGGAAAGGCCGUCACUCAACGGAUAAAAGUUACUCUAAGGAUAACAGGCUGAUCUCCCCCAAGAGUUCACAUCGACGGGGAGGUUUGGCACCUCGAUGUCGGCUCAUCGCAUCCUGGGGCGGUAGUACGUCCCAAGGGUUGGGCUGUUCGCCCAUGAAAGCGGUACGCGAGCUGGGUUCAGAACGUCGUGAGACAGUUCGGUCCAUAUCCGGUGUAGGCGUUAGAAUAUUGAGAGGAGCCUUCUUUAGUACGAGAGGACCGAGAAGGACAUACCUCUGGUGUACCAGUUAUCGUGCCAACGGUAAACGCUGGGUAGCCAUGUAUAGAGAGGAUAACCGCUGAAAGCAUCUAAGUGGGAAGCCCACCUCAAGAUAAGUAUUC